UGCAGCCGGGGAGUUAGCGGUGCCUUGUACCUGCAAUCCGCUACAGCAGGGGUGAUAUCUAAGCCAAGGGCUGUUCACUGUAGGGCUGCCCCUAGUAAGUGACGAUGAAGUUUGGGUCUUACGCAACAGGAACUUAUGAACCGUGUCAGGUCAGGAAUGAAGCAGCACUAAGUAAGACCUUCUGUGUGCCGUAAGGUAGCCUGGACGGAGUUAACUGCUAGGGUACCGCUUAUGGUGUCAGUUCGAAGCUGGAUGCACGG
Molecule: signal recognition particle RNA, 260 nt
Filed under: human gut metagenome
Description: Bacterial large signal recognition particle RNA
Rfam family: Bacterial large signal recognition particle RNA
About the family: The signal recognition particle (SRP) is a universally conserved ribonucleoprotein involved in the co-translational targeting of proteins to membranes. Archaeal SRP consists of a 7S RNA and homologues of the eukaryotic SRP19 and SRP54 proteins.
Source: RNAcentral